GCACUUGUAUUGUAUAGGUAUUUAGGGCAGUAAUUGUUGCAUUUCAUUCAUGUUUAGUUAGUUAAUUGCAUGAUUCUUAAUUAAUUUCAUUAUAUUUUAGAAUUUAUGUUGAUCUAUCUUAAUUUCUUGAUUUUUGCGUUAUAUCAAGUGAUUUGAUGCAAUCCUAAGGCCUAGAACAAUUAUGGAGGAGUUUGGAAGUCAAAAGGUGAAAGUUAGGAAGUUAGAAGGAUUACACAGGCUGUGCAAAUAACAAGCAUGACCCGUGCAACAUAGACAUGGGAGAAAGCCAAUACACGGGCUGUGUACCGUGACCCGUGUAACUAUCCUCCCCCCGUAUAACCUUCUAUUCCUCCAUAAGAUGCAAGGUUAAGAUGUCCAUAGAAUUACCCGGCCCUGCCCCAUGCAAUGAUGCUACACCGGAUGUCAGUAGAGAAUCCCAAUUUGACUUUUUUCUUUUCUGCUUGGCCUAGAAGGACUUCUAAGGCUACUAAGAUUCUAAAUUAAGUAUUUUUAUACCAUAUAUAAAUACAAUAAGUCAAAAACAAAGUGGAAUCAAUUCUUUAGCAUUAGAGAAUAGCAAUGCCACCUCGAGAGAGAUCGUUAGCAAGAUUUCUAGAAGAGAUUCUCAGCUGAAGUUUCAUAAGUUCAACGUUGCAAAAUUCUCAUUAUGGGUUUCUUCUUUCUAUUUCUUCUGAUGUGUUUCUUUUAUUUUCUUACUUUAAGUUUGAUUGUAGAACUCAUUAUGAGUAAGUAGUUUUCUUGAUUCUUGAAUUAGGGAUGUAGCACUUUCAAUUCAGUUAUGAAUUUUAU
This 810-nucleotide unclassified non-coding RNA is filed under the name Hevea brasiliensis (rubber tree). The record is from RNAcentral. Lineage: Eukaryota; Viridiplantae; Streptophyta; Magnoliopsida; Malpighiales; Euphorbiaceae.